CGGGACGGGUGAGUAACGCGUGGGUGACCUGCCUUGUACUGGGGGACAACAGUUAGAAAUGACUGCUAAUACCGCAUAAGCGCACAGUAUCGCAUGAUACAGUGUGAAAAACUCCGGUGGUACAAGAUGGACCCGCGUCUGAUUAGCUAGUUGGUAAGGUAACGGCUUACCAAGGCGACGAUCAGUAGCCGACCUGAGAGGGUGACCGGCCACAUUGGGACUGAGACACGGCCCAA
RNAcentral lists this ribosomal RNA (236 nucleotides) under uncultured bacterium. RNAcentral's name for it is "partial 16S ribosomal RNA". It matches the Rfam family "Bacterial small subunit ribosomal RNA", at positions 100 to 334 of the family's 1533-position model. The record is from RNAcentral.